GAAACAAAGCAUGUGGCACAGUGUGGCAGGGAUCCAGCGGUCCAGAGCCUCCCAGAUAUGUGCAACUGUGUAUGGUCAGCCUGACACACCUCACCACACACCAGGCUCUGUGAUAGAUGGUGGGAUGACUCAGGUCUGGGCCAGAGGUCAGGAACGAGGAUGUGACAUAUUCCCAUCCCUGGGCCCCUCCAGGGGUGAGCUUCCCGAGCAGACCACGGCGGCUGCUGGUGGGGGAGCUGCUGUGCCAACCUGCACCAGGGUCAGAAGAUGACCAGCGAGGUGCCUGGGUAUGGUCAAGCUAUGAGGAAGGAACUGUGCUCUGUGAUCAUGCCGGACAGAAGGAGGACAGAGUCAAAUGGGCUAACAUGUGUCUGUGCUCCUCUUGAGAGGCAAACCACAGGCCCAAAUCACAGCACUAACAAGUGGCAAAGCAAAGGAAGGAAUGCAGGUGCAGCUGGUUCCAGCGCUCAGGGCUCCCUCCUUCCCUGGAUGCGGAGAAUAUUCUAGCCUUCC
RNAcentral lists this long non-coding RNA (513 nucleotides) under Equus asinus (donkey). RNAcentral describes it as "lncRNA (ENSEASG00005029566.1)". Lineage: Eukaryota; Metazoa; Chordata; Mammalia; Perissodactyla; Equidae. The record is from RNAcentral.